CAGGGAGAAUAAUCACUAGCAGGUGAUGCUUGUUAUAACAUAGAACAAGCUACCUGUGUUUGGGAUAUAACAGAGUGGUUGCAGGUGUGGGUGUGUUGAGCAUGGUUAGCUGUUUGGCUUCACCUGGGAGGCUUUGGAGGAGGUUUGUGGUGGCUGUAGGUAGUGGGGAGUACCAAGACAUGUCUUCUGGCUGGGAUGCAGGGGAGAGAUGUUGGGCUGCUCUCUGUCCAAAAUGAUUGAGGCUCCCUGUGCUUUUGGGCACUUCCAGUCUGGGUGGAUGCAAGUUGGCUCCUGCUGGAAGCGGGUUUUCCCAAAGAGAAGUUGCUUUGAGCUUUGUGUCUGAAAGAGGAGAUUGCAAAAAGAAGGAAACCCAGUCUAUGUUAUAGGAGGUGAAUCUCCAGUAGAGGAAGAUAGAGCCUUGCUUUCUUGUUGGGCAUCAUGGGGGACUUGGCUUUGGCCAAGGAUGCUGUAUUUGUAGGGCUUCUUCCAUAGGGGCUCUACAAGGAAGACUGGUGGUCUCAGCCCCCUGCCUAUGGAUUAGAAGCAGCUGCGAGGAGUGAUGCCCAGGGCUGGACUUCUGGAGGAGCUAAGGCUUCUGGAUUGUGCGUACACUUGUAUUCACUUCCCGUUAACUUCUUGAACACACUUGAUGAGACCCAGUCCGAGCGAGGCCCUCCAGCAGUGAUGAUCAGCCUUUCAUUCCACCCGGGCAGUGAGGAUUGCUCCAGGGGUUGGGCAGAGGCCCCGAGCCCCAUUGGCUACAUCCUGCUCAAUAACCCACAUCGAUUCUACACAGCCCUGGUUGAAAGCAGGGCAAUCUGCAGGAAAGCAGUUGGGCUGAAGCGUGUGAAAUAACGCUUGGAAAGGUCACUUUCCAUCUCAGGGAGAGGGUUCCUGACUUCAGGAGGAGUUGUGGACCAGCUGGUAGGGGCGGUUCCUCUGGACAGUGCAUAGCAUGGAAAGCUGCUGCUUGUCAGUAGAUGUGUUGAAUAAAGUUUGGGGGGAAAUUCAUGGUUACAGCUCCCUGCUGACUGAAGCAGAGAUACAGGACCCAAGGCUUUGCUUCUACAUCAGCACACUGUAUGGGGGGGGGAAAAAAAGCAAGCGAUGUGUGUUGGUGUGCUCCCCAUUACAGCUCCCAUCGUGUGAUACACAUCCCUCAAGACGGCCCUGGAGGCAGAGCAGCACUGAGUGCAGUGCUUAGCUACCCUGAGAUGUCUGGCAGCGUGUGAUGUCGAGCUUCAAACCCUGAACUUGGGGGAAUUCUUCUGAAUUUGGGAGCAGCAAGAGGUUAAUAAAAAUUCUUUGAGGUUGGAUAUAUUCCUAAUGUGCUGUAAGAUGUACUGGAGGUUUGGCUACCUUUUUUCACUCCUAAAUUGUAAUGGAAAAGAAUUCUGGAAGUUGUUUGCCAGUGAGGUAUGAGAUUAUGCUUUAGUUAAGCUUACUUUUAUGAAUAGCAAUUUUUACAUUUCAUGGUGAAUACACCUCAGGUUCUCUCUGUAUUUAGGGUGGGGUGGGUGAGAUUAGUAUUGUUUGUUUUCCCCCCACUGCAACAUGCAUUAAUGAACACUUUUUAAAACUUUUUUUUAAUUGUGAAAUGAGCUUCAAUGAACUUAUUAAAUGUUUGCACAUUUGGCAGGAAGGAUUUGGGUUAGUUUCUAAUAUCCACAGCUGACUUUUUUCCCUCACUCAUCCUUCAGCAUCUCAUCCCUGCUGUGCUGCCCAGCUGCAGGCUGGAUUGGACCCGUGCCCUGAGGACUGCUUCAGGAGGGCACAGGGCACCUCCUGGUGCCAAAAAUUCAGAAGAGACCCUGCGUCUUCUCCAUUUAUUCCCAAUGGCUGGCUCUUCUGGCUUCAGCAAGCCUAGGGGAGCCCUUGUAAUCCCCCUGUGGUGUCUUGGCAGGAGCUGCUUGGCUGCCCAGCCCUUUGCACGGAGCGGAGGAGACUCCUGGGGCUUGCUUUAAUUUUGGGUAAGCUCCAGCAGUUGCACGGUUUGCACCAGACUCCUGAAAUUUGGCAGGGAGAAAGCCUUUGGGCUGGGGAAAUGCCUUUUCUGGAUCCCAUGAAAAACCCUUCAGGUUUAACAGAGCUAUAAAUUCUUUUUAAAAAAGCAUUGUUUCCCCUAGCUCACUCCUAAUUAACAGGUGAUUUUAGCUAGAAUGCUGAAGAAGGUGACCUCCGUUGCCUGGAGAAGGACAUUGGUAAGUCAUGAGGAAGAGCGUUGUCCCAGACAAGGCAGCAUCACCCAAACCCAGCUGUUAACCCUGCCCCAAAAAGCUCAAACCCCCAGGUGCCAGCUCGGGGGGAUUUCCACCUCCUACAAAGAAAGAAGGUAAGUGUGAGAGCGGGCAGAGAAACGCCCAGAGCAAGACCUGGCUCGAGAAAUUAAUUUUUCAGAUAGCUGUGCAGAAGGUGGCUUGUUCUAUAUAUUUUCCUUAGAAACUAAAUAAAACAGGAAAUGACAUAAAAAAUUAUGCUAAAAGGAAGUUAUUUAGUUUGUAUGGGCAAGGUCUGUAUGUUAAGGAAUGCCAGAUUUACAGUUACACAUGUCUGCAACCUUAUUUCUGCUCCCAUGAGCGCAUGCAUUACGAUACAAUCUUUAACUACAUAAUCACGUAAUAUUUUCCCAUUGCCUCUCUUUUAAUAUUCGGAGUUGGAUACAUAAGUGGGAAGAAUCGGGAUUGCAUGGGCAAUUGUAAAAAUGGCAUUUCUUAACUUUCAAGUACUUGGCUUUGCAACUUAAAUAACUUUCUUCGGAUGUAAUUUUUUUCAUAUGUAAUUAUAUAUAUCCAGUGUUGAACACCAGAAAGCAGUGGGGAUUACUGGCAAGCUUUUGAAAACUCCUUAAUUUCCUUCUAGCAGUGAACAGGAGACAUCACUUCUUUUUUUAUUCUGUAGAUUUCCCAACGAAUUCCUCCAUACUUCUUAAAUAGAUACAGCUCUGAACAGAUGACUGAAAAAAACUGGGUCAGGAAAUACUGUAAAUAAUUAUUCUUGCAUAUUUUUAGUCAUUAAGUACGUAGGCACAGUAACACGUUGUUGGAGCAGUGUGUAAGUUUAAUGCUGAAGAAAUCAGUCUUUAAUGAACAUAUGCUGACUUGGCCUCGCAAUCUUGCUUCAUCUCCCCUAUUAACUUCCUAUGCACCCAGGAAACCUUUGGCUCGCUGCCUAAAUAAUAGAAGAAUAAUUAGACCAGUAAUUGAAGGAUGCCAAGUCAAACUUCUAAGGAAUUUAUCUUUAACAACCACUCUGCAGCACGUUUCCUAUGCUGCCUUGCAUGGUUCUUCUUUAAGGAUCAUUUUGCAAAUAUCCAGUCCAUGUUUGCAAGAAAAAUUAGUAAGUCAUGCAGACACUGAAAUGCACUCAAUCACUAUGAAUUGUAAAACAGAAAUAGGUAUUGCUCUUUCAAAAAGCCUUCAAGAGUGAGCUCCUCCUGGUAUGAGGUAACUCACCUCCUUUUGUGCUCAUCCAAUACAGGCAGCCUUACUGGACCUUUUGGGUGGGACUAGGUGGAAAAUUUAGCAUGUCUUUUUAGAGUGUCUGAAAUCAGCAGUGCUGUAAGGCUGGGGUAAUUAGCCUAGAACUUGCUUUGUUUGGAUAGUUAAGUUACAGAUACUUAAAACCUACAUUUUACCUAUUGGAAUGAAUGUCGGUGUUACGUAUUCAGCUAGAGAAAGAUGUUGGACCAAUAACUCAAAUCUUCUACUCAAAAAGACGUCAUAAUUUAGUAGCAGCAGCUGCUAGCCAGCUAUGACCAAUCAAGGCCAUUUUUGCUGGAGAGCAAUGCCAUGUCUCAUCACUCGACUGUUUCCUCCUCAGCGGGGAUGUCAAGGUCUGUUCAGUGGUCCACGUACGGUGACAGAAGAGCUCUUGUUGGCACCAUCAGUCCCCAGCUCCGGAGCUCUUCCAGCUCAGUGUAGCUCCAGGCAUGCAUUGCCAGGUGAGGUUUUAGGGGAGGAGUUUCCCCGCUCUUCCUUGCUUUCCUUAGAGCCAAGAAUUGCUGUUCCUGAGCACUUGUGUAUGUGUGUACCCUUCACGAGCAACCAUCAGAUUUAAUCAAGGGUUAUUUCUAAGCUGCUCUAAAUUGUGCAGUGCCGGAUCAGGUUUACAGCAUUUUGCUUUGUUGUAAAUAUUUGCUCACAGCUUUGAAGUUCAGGAGUUCAUUGUAUUGGCCAAAACCCAGGUGCUAUUGUACAGUAUUGUCUGUAUAGAUUCUGAUUCCUUGUCUUGGUAAUCAGCCCUGGGCCAAGAGCAUAAUGGGAAGUCAGUUUGGGCAUCGGGUCCUCCAGGUGGGCAGGUGUUAAAGUGGGAAGCCUUCCCAUGUAAGGGACCACAGGUAGCAUCGUCUACUCGCAAAGAGAGGAGAUCUGUGUGAAUUUUUCUCAUAAUGUCACUUCAUCUUUUAAUAAUGUUGAGACGUGGAACCAUAUUCCAAGUGUUUAGUGUCAUGGGAAAUGAAGCAGAAUAUAUUUUGUUGGUAAUUUCUACGGCAGCCGAGUAAGGGUGGUGAUAGCACUCCAGCCAAUUACCAGCUUCAGGUACUACUUCUAUAUUUAAAUUUCUUCCCCUUUACCUCAGUAUAAUUAAUAAAUGAUACUGCUUCAUAUUUUCAAGGAAAUCCAGACAGCUGUACCGCGUAUCACUCCUUUCUUUAAUAUGCUGUAAAAGUUCCUCCUCCACACUCGCUAUUCUGUUGUCGUAAUUAAGGAUCUGCAUCAGGAAAUGCCACGCUUCAAACCUGAGUUUACUGCGUGCUUGACAGACUCCCACAGCUUCCUUCUCCAGCACUCAUUUCCAUCGAAAAUGCCUCGUGAAGCCAGCAGCUUGCUCUUGCAGAGACUAUCUUGAUAUGUAACGAGGAUGCUGAUUUUUUUUUUUAAGUAUGUUAUUGAGGUCCUACUCCGUGCUGAAUGCAUUUUUAUUUUUUUUCCAUUAUAUGGUAGUGGUUGCCUAACACGUCAGCAUGAUGCACGGUGAGCCUGGUGAGCUGGGUGGAAAGCCCUUUUCCGUUUGGUUCUUGUGCUCCAGGUGCGUGCCUGGGACACUUCACCAGUAUUAGGGACAUGGAAAACGUCUAGUAAUUCUCGAAUACCGAGUGAAAAUAUGACUGUUUGUCAUCUCUGAAACGAGGUCCAGCCUGCUAGAUGCGUAUUUAAUGCACUGGGAAAUGAUCAUUUUGUGCCGAGUGAAAACACGUGCACGUUUACGUGCCCAGUGCCCCCUUACCUGCGCAGCUGUAGCGUUUCUGCAUGCUUAGAAUCAGAGAGUCACAGAAUAUCCUGAGUUGGAAGGGACCCACGAGGAUCAUCGAGUCCAACUCCUAUCAGACUUAACAAUUUCCACUGUUGGCUUUUUUUCUGUUGUUCCUUGCAUCGCAGCCAAGCGUGACUGCCCUUGUGUAGGGAGGGAGGGCAGCCCCAGCCCUGCCUGUGUUCCUCAGGGGCACAGGGCACAUGGGAUGCUCCCAGCGCACCCAUGCAGCGCUGCCCUGCCUGUGUAAGUGGAAGAGAGGGUGAUUAACAUUGCGCUAAAAAAUAAAUUCUCUCUCCAUUAUUAAUGAGAGGGUCGCGAUGGAGAGUAGCACUGUCUUGAUCUCUCUUUUAGACACAUCUGAGUCUCCGGUAAUUGUGGCAGCUGAAGCUCAGGUUGUCUUUUUUUUCCUCUUUUCUGAGAGCUGCUGAUUUUUCUGUCAUUUUUCUGUCCACUCAUUGCCAUUCUCUCAUCUUCCCUGCUGCCCUGUGUCCCCUAACACACUCCCUGCUCUGCUGCGUCUUUGUCUUGUCUUCCUGAAGGUCUUGUGUGUGCAUUUUUUUUUUUUAAUAUAUAGCUCGUUUUAUUUCCUUACCCUAUUUUCUUGACGUUCCCAUCCCUUCUUUCUUUUCUGCUGCAGGCUUCCAAGUCUUUCUUUUCUGCUCUGAUCCCCCACCCUCACUGCUGACAUUUGGAUCGCUUUUUGCUGUUUUCAACCCAUCCGUCUUCUUCAGCGUGUUUUUUCCUGUUCUCGUUUCUCCAAAUUCUCCCCGUUUUCCCAGUUCCUCAUCCCUACCAGGCCCCUUUACUCCAGUUUUGGAGCCCAGUGGUUGGGGUGGGACCACCAGAACCAGCAGGGGCGAUGCUCAGCUCCAGGCUCCUGCUGCAAAGCUGGGACCACCUGUGGCCCCGCCGUGGCUCCGGGCUCCUGCCACCGAUUUGUGUUCCACCCGCUUCUCAUUUGUCAUUGUUAGUCCUUCCUUCCUCAUUAGAUAAUUAUCAUCCAUGCCACCUCCCUUUUCUAAUCAUUCCUUGAAUGCUUAAAUUAUCACUACAUCAUUCAGAUAUAUCUUUGAUCUCCUCAAUACGGUUUUUAUUUUCCCUCCUGCGGGUAGCGUGGUUGCUGCUGUCCCCUUCGUGCCUUCGUGUUCGUCUCGUUUUCAUUGCACAGUUCCCUGUUCCC
Long non-coding RNA from Numida meleagris (helmeted guineafowl), 6433 nucleotides. RefSeq lists it as uncharacterized. The transcript has 4 exons. NCBI's taxonomy places the organism in Eukaryota, Metazoa, Chordata, Aves, Galliformes, Numididae. The record is from RefSeq and is a predicted model, not a curated record.